GGCGACGAUGGUUAGCUGGUCUGAGAGGAUGAUCAGCCACACUGGAACUGGAACACGGUCCAGACUCCUACGGGAGGCAGCAGUGAGGAAUUUUGCGCAAUGGGGGAAACCCCGACGCAGCAACGCCGCGUGAGCGAAGAAGGCCUUCGGGUCGUAAAGCUCUGUCAAGUGGAAAAAAAAUCUUUUGAUCAAUAGUCAAAAGACUUGAUGGUACCACUGGAGGAAGCACCGGCUAACUCCGUGCCAGCAGCCGCGGUAAUACGGAGGGUGCAAGCGUUGUUCGGAUUUACUGGGCGUAAAGAGCGUGUAGGCGGUUUAGCAAGUCAGAUGUGAAAGCCCUGGGCUCAACCCGGGAAGUGCAUUUGAAACUGCUUCACUAGAGUAUGGGAGAGGAGAUAGGAAUUCCUGGUGUAGAGGUGAAAUUCGUAGAUAUCAGGAGGAACACCCGUGGCGAAGGCGAUUCUCUGGACCAAUACUGACGCUGAGACGCGAAAGCGUGGGGAGCAAACAGGAUUAGAUACCCUGGUAGUCCACGCCGUAAACGAUGAGAACUAGGUGUAGUGGGUAUUGACCCCUGCUGUGCCGAAGUUAACGCAUUAAGUUCUCCGCCUGGGGAGUACGGCCGCAAGGCUAAAACUCAAAGGAAUUGACGGGGGCCCGCACAAGCGGUGGAGCAUGUGGUUUAAUUCGACGCAACGCGAAGAACCUUACCUGGGUUUGACAUCCUCUGACCGUCUGGGAAACCAGAUUUUUCCGGCUUUGCCGGAACAGAGUGACAGGUGCUGCAUGGCUGUCGUCAGCUCGUGUCGUGAGAUGUUGGGUUAAGUCCCGCAACGAGCGUAACCCUUGUCUUUAGUUGCCAUUAUUAAGUUAGGCACUCUAAAGAGACUGCCUCGGUUAACGGGGAGGAAGGUGGGGAUGACGUCAAGUCCUCAUGGCCUUUAUAUCCAGGGCUACACACGUGCUACAAUGGGCUGUACAAAGGGUUGCUAACCCGCGAGGGUGCGCUAAUCCCAAAAAGCAGUUCUCAGUUCGGAUUGAAGUCUGCAACUCGACUUCAUGAAGGUGGAAUCGCUAGUAAUCGUGGAUCAGCAUGCCACGGUGAAUACGUUCCCGGGCCUUGUACACACCGCCCGUCACACCACGAAAGUCGACUGUACCAGAAGUUGCUGGGCUAACCUCUUCGGAGGAGGCAGGUACCUAAGGUACGGCCGGUAAUUGGGGUGAAGUCGUAGCAAGGUA
RNAcentral lists this ribosomal RNA (1242 nucleotides) under metagenome. RNAcentral's name for it is "bacterial SSU rRNA". It matches the Rfam family "Bacterial small subunit ribosomal RNA", at positions 272 to 1498 of the family's 1533-position model. The record is from RNAcentral.